GUGUCCCUGCCUGUGGCAGGGGCUUGGAACUGGGUGAGCUUCAAGGUCCCUUCCAACCCAAACCCGUCCGGGAUUCUAUGUAUUGAGUCAUGGAUGUGUGAACUGCCCUGGUG
Long non-coding RNA from Strigops habroptila (Kakapo), 113 nucleotides. RefSeq lists it as uncharacterized. The record is from RefSeq and is a predicted model, not a curated record. The transcript has 4 exons. NCBI's taxonomy places the organism in Eukaryota, Metazoa, Chordata, Aves, Psittaciformes, Psittacidae.